Mesoplodon densirostris (Blainville's beaked whale) is the source of this 2093-nucleotide RNA transcript. It is a transcript of the gene named splA/ryanodine receptor domain and SOCS box containing 2, with no coding region annotated. The transcript has 3 exons. The record is from RefSeq and is a predicted model, not a curated record. NCBI's taxonomy places the organism in Eukaryota, Metazoa, Chordata, Mammalia, Artiodactyla, Ziphiidae.
GUCCCCUCCAGGAUCCCUCGCUUCACACACUCUUCUCUCCCAACUCCUCUCCGGGUCGAUCCCGACCGGGAGCUCGACUUUCAGAAGAGAGACGCCCCAGCAAGCCUCUUUAGGGGAGUUCUCCAGCUCCUCAUCUCCAUGGGCCAGACAGCCUCGGCAGGGGGCGGCGGCAGCAGCACCCACAGCCCGCAGGCCCUGUACCCUGACCUGUCUUGUCCCGAGGGCUUAGAGGAGCUGCUCUCGGCUCCCCCGCCUGACCUGGGGGCCCAACGGCGCCACGGCUGGAACCCCAAGGACUGCUCAGAGAACAUCGAGGUCAAGGAAGGGGGGCUGUGCUUUGAACGGCGGCCCGUGGCCCAGAGCACUGAUGGGGCCCGGGGUAAGAGGGGCUACUCGAGGGGCUUGCACGCCUGGGAGAUCAGCUGGCCCCGGGAGCAGAGGGGCACCCACGCUGUGGUGUGCGUGGCCACGGCCCUCGCGCCGCUGCAGGCUGACCACUAUGCGGCGCUGCUGGGCAGCAACAGCGAUUCGUGGGGCUGGGACCUUGGGCGCGGGCAGCUGUACCAUCAGAGCAAGGGGCCCGAGGCCCCCCGGUAUCCAGCCGGACCUCAGGGUGAGCAGCUGGAGGUGCCGGAGAGGCUGCUGGUGGUUCUGGAUAUGGAGGAGGGAACUCUGGGCUACGCUAUUAGGGGCACCUACUUGGGGCCGGCCUUCCGCGGACUGAAGGGCAGGACCCUCUAUCCAGCAGUAAGCGCUGUCUGGGGCCAGUGCCAGGUCCGCAUCAGCUACCUGGGCGAAAGGAGAGCCGAGCCACACUCCCUUCUGCACCUGAGCCGCCUGUGUGUGCGCCACGCCCUGGGGGAUACGCGGCCAGGCCACGUUUCUGCUCUGCCCUUGCCCCCCGCCAUGAAGCGCUACCUGCUCUACCGGUGACCCCCGUGAUACCACGGAUUGCACUGGGGCCUUGACCCACCCCCUGCUGGCCUAGACCAGCUGCCUGAAGCAGGGUCCCGUGGCUGCCUCAGAAGGGAAAAAGAUGAUCUGGACAAGUUCAGUGAAGAAGGACACACCCCAAGGCUUAGUGCCAGGUGUUUAUUUCCCACACACGCAGGACUGCUCACAGACACAACACACACAGGCAUCGGCACCGUGGGAGGGAGCAGCACCCCGGCCUCAGCAGAGGACAGGGCUUUCUCUCAGCCCGAUCUCAUGGCGUGAGAUGGGACAGGACGGGUUCUUGCUCCUGCCUUCACUGGGGACUGAGGGGACCCAUAAGCAAACACCCCUCCCACCUCUCAGCCAAGCUAAAGCCACCUUGGUGACAGGUUGAGUUCCAACUGAUACAGUAAGUGGAAGCGGGAGUGGCCUGGUCCCAACCAUUACAGGGUAGGGUGUAAACGGUAAAGGAAGAGGUACACUUUGGAUUAGGCCACAAGAGGCAGCAGGUGACACCAUCAGAAGCACGUGUGAAGGUCGGGGGGCAGUAGUUACUGGGCUUCUGAGCUACCUAGUCCCUGUCUCAGCAGGAAGGGUAGCAGAGACGGGCAGGGCUUAAUGUUUGGCAUUGAUGAUGUCCACGAAUUCAGGCUUGAGGGAAGCGCCCCCCACAAGGAAGCCAUCCACGUCAGGCUGGCUUGCCAGCUCCUUGCAGGUUGCCCCAGUCACAGAACCUGGGAAGGGAGAAGAGAGGGGGAGAGGUCAGGGAUGGGAGGGGGUACUCCAUGUCGAAGAAGGACUCAAUCGGGUUCUCAGCCCACUCCACCUCUGGCUGGAACCAAACUCACUUACCCCCAUAAAUGAUGCGGGUGCUGUGAGCCACUGCAUCAGAGAUGUUGGACUUAAGCCAUCCCCGGAGCUUUUCGUGUACUUCCUGGGCCUAGAACAAGAAGCUAGACUAAGACUUUCACUCAAAGGGGCAAAAACCCUGUGCACCAGUGUAGACAGGCAGUGUGGUUUUGGGACAAGAACCCUGGGAUCUGAGAUAGAACACCGGGGCUUCGAUCCCACCCAGGUCCUGGAAUGGAUGUCCUUUGACAUGUCACUCUCUUUUCUCCUGUCUUUUAUUUUUACUUAUUUUUAGUUUUUAUUUUUUU